AGGACUUUAGUUAAAUAAUAAUAAUAGUUUGUCAGGCUAUAGUAAUCCUCCGGGGUAAGUCCUG
This 64-nucleotide transfer RNA is filed under the name Hirudo nipponia. Its description in RNAcentral is "tRNA-Asp". Lineage: Eukaryota; Metazoa; Annelida; Clitellata; Hirudinida; Hirudinidae. The record is from RNAcentral.